Molecule: long non-coding RNA, 455 nt
Filed under: Chinchilla lanigera (long-tailed chinchilla)
Lineage: Eukaryota; Metazoa; Chordata; Mammalia; Rodentia; Chinchillidae
Description: lncRNA (ENSCLAG00000025123.1)
Source: RNAcentral
UAUAUUUUCCUAGUGGAUUUGCCAGUAUUUCUCCAGCCAUGAUUGUAAAGUUAACCUUUCAAAAGAUGAAAGAGCUGAAAAUAAAUCAAUGUGAGAGGAAAACCGGAAAGAUUUUAUCUGUGGAAGACAGGGAAUAAACAAUGAAACAGAAACAAAGAGAGGAAGAUCAGAGAUACAUUAAUCAUAACAAAUUCUCUCCCAGAAGAGCAGAAUGGAAAUUAAGAACUAGUGAUGGGAGAGCUACAGACGUGCAUUUUGAGUGUUCCUAAAAUAAAUAAAUGAGAUGGUGGAGUAAAGACCAGCAGAAAAAUACAACCACUCUGGAGGAACUUAGAGCAGAGACACCUGGAGAAGAACAACUUGCCCAUGUCUGUUGCCAGUGCUUUUUAAGCCAUUGGUCUUGGGAGAAUAGCAGUUCACCGUACCUUUCUUCAAUAUUUCAUGGCAAUCUCUGA